RNAcentral lists this long non-coding RNA (488 nucleotides) under Malus domestica (apple). RNAcentral describes it as "long non-coding RNA (MDOM_LNC019399)". The record is from RNAcentral. Lineage: Eukaryota; Viridiplantae; Streptophyta; Magnoliopsida; Rosales; Rosaceae.
GCAAACAUGCCCAACCUUUACUCACAUUCGAGAAAACACUCCCAACAAGAUUGCUUGCUCCAAAAUCGAAGAGGCACCGCCCUCCGAAUCUCGAGAGCCAGACUCCCAACAUGAUUACUUUCUCAAAAAUCGAAGAGACACUGCUUCCCGAAUCUUCGAGAGCCAGACCCCCAGCAUGAUUGCUUUCUCAAAAAUUGAUGAGGCAUCGUUCUCCGAAUCAAUCGAAGAGGCGCUCGCUUUCUCAAAAGCUGGGCUGCUCAGAGACCACGAGGGCCGAUCUCAGAAAUCGAAGAGGCACCUACUUUUCUAGCCUUGUCAGCACCUGUCACACGCAACAAUAGCUCAUGGGUACCACAGAUAACUUUGCCAAAGUUCUCUGCCAAAGUUGAGCACGUGAAGCUUGCAGCUCCCACUACAUCGCUCUGACCAAGAAAGGUAAAAGAAUAGCAAAGAAACAGCACUAACAAAGUUUAGACACAUAAAUUUUG